RNAcentral lists this long non-coding RNA (423 nucleotides) under Varroa destructor (honeybee mite). RNAcentral describes it as "uncharacterized LOC111243992, transcript variant X1". The record is from RNAcentral. Lineage: Eukaryota; Metazoa; Arthropoda; Arachnida; Mesostigmata; Varroidae.
GACUCACAUAGACUGCUCAACGUCCGACUAAGAGAGUUGCCUAUCUGAAGCCUAUCUGGGCAAGGGUGCAGCACGCAAUGAACUAGGCGGUUUCAUUUUGGCGUCUGAAAUGGAACCAACACUCGCCUGAUGAGGCAGUGUCAAACACCGUACACGGAACGACAUCUACUAUUAUAAUCGUUGCCGCAGCCGCAGGUGGCUGGCCGUAUAGAAUCUAAACGUGUGGCAGCCAAAGGUCGUAUCAUAAAUUAAACGCCUACUACUAUAUAAUUUGAAGGAGACUCAUCGACCGUUUACACUGGGAAAUCUCGAUAGUUUUGGCAUCGAAAUCACCUUCUACCAUGUGGGUCUGAAUAUCUGUACACUCACUCUCAGCGGUCUCCCGAUCGAGCUUCAUCCUAGAUAGGUGAGGUGACGGUUUCU